Molecule: ribosomal RNA, 496 nt
Filed under: uncultured bacterium
Lineage: Bacteria
Description: partial 16S ribosomal RNA
Rfam family: Bacterial small subunit ribosomal RNA
Source: RNAcentral
GAUGAACGCUGGCGGCGUGCCUAAUACAUGCAAGUCGAGCGAACGGACGAGAAGCUUGCUUCUCUGAUGUUAGCGGCGGACGGGUGAGUAACACGUGGAUAACCUACCUAUAAGACUGGGAUAACUUCGGGAAACCGUAGCUAAUACCGGAUAAUAUUUUGAACCGCAUGGUUCAAAAGUGAAAGACGGUCUUGCUGUCACUUAUAGAUGGAUCCGCGCUGCAUUAGCUAGUUGGUAAGGUAACGGCUUACCAAGGCAACGAUGCAUAGCCGACCUGAGAGGGUGAUCGGCACCACUGGAACUGAGAACCGGUCCGGACUCCUAGGGGAGGCAGAGGGAGGGAAUCUUCGGCAAUGGGCGAAAGCCUGACGGAGCAACGCCGCGGGGGUGAUGAAGGUCUUCGGAUCGUAAAACUCUGUUAUUAGGGAAGAACAUAUGUGUAAGUAACUGUGCACAUCUUGACGGUACCUAAUAAGAAAGCCACGGCUAACUACGU